Molecule: long non-coding RNA, 411 nt
Filed under: Helianthus annuus (common sunflower)
Lineage: Eukaryota; Viridiplantae; Streptophyta; Magnoliopsida; Asterales; Asteraceae
Description: sRNA HanXRQr2_Chr09g0413731
Source: RNAcentral
AAACUCUUCACAACCCACCUAAAUGUUGAAAACCCAUACAGAGCAACUCUUUCUUCACCUUAGCUCAACCUGCUCCUAUUCAUAAAUCAACAAUUUCAGAAACACAAUCCAGAGACGGAUGGAAUUGACUUGUGAUGCAAGUUUUAAUUAAACCAUGGUAUAAGAGAGGUGGUCUUAAGGCUAGGGAGGCGUAGGAGAGUUAUGGUAGGAAGGCUUUGCAGGUGCAUGAGUGGGUACAGUAGGAGGGUGCAGUGUAGUGGAGGGGGAACAAACACGACAAAAAAUGUAUAACAAGAUGAGUGUUUGUAAUUCAAUAUAUCGUUUGAAUUGAUGUUUUGCAGAGGUAAAAUUUAUGUUUGACAUGAUGUUAGAAGCUUCUUAUUUGACUUGUUCAUGUUUGUUUCCACAAGU